AGAGUUUGAUCCUGGCUCAGAUUGAACGCUGGCGGCAGGCUUAACACAUGCAAGUCGAGCGGAGAUGAGGUGCUUGCACCUUAUCUUAGCGGCGGACGGGUGAGUAAUGCUUAGGAAUCUGCCUAUUAGUGGGGGACAACAUUCCGAAAGGAAUGCUAAUACCGCAUACGUCCUACGGGAGAAAGCAGGGGAUCUUCGGACCUUGCGCUAAUAGAUGAGCCUAAGUCGGAUUAGCUAGUUGGUGGGGUAAAGGCCUACCAAGGCGACGAUCUGUAGCGGGUCUGAGAGGAUGAUCCGCCACACUGGGACUGAGACACGGCCCAGACUCCUACGGGAGGCAGCAGUGGGGAAUAUUGGACAAUGGGGGGAACCCUGAUCCAGCCAUGCCGCGUGUGUGAAGAAGGCCUUAUGGUUGUAAAGCACUUUAAGCGAGGAGGAGGCUACUGAGACUAAUACUCUUGGAUAGUGGACGUUACUCGCAGAAUAAGCACCGGCUAACUCUGUGCCAGCAGCCGCGGUAAUACAGAGGGUGCGAGCGUUAAUCGGAUUUACUGGGCGUAAAGCGUGCGUAGGCGGCUUUUUAAGUCGGAUGUGAAAUCCCCGAGCUUAACUUGGGAAUUGCAUUCGAUACUGGGAAGCUAGAGUAUGGGAGAGGAUGGUAGAAUUCCAGGUGUAGCGGUGAAAUGCGUAGAGAUCUGGAGGAAUACCGAUGGCGAAGGCAGCCAUC
RNAcentral lists this ribosomal RNA (727 nucleotides) under Acinetobacter junii. Its description in RNAcentral is "bacterial SSU rRNA". It matches the Rfam family "Bacterial small subunit ribosomal RNA", at positions 8 to 729 of the family's 1533-position model. The record is from RNAcentral. Lineage: Bacteria; Pseudomonadati; Pseudomonadota; Gammaproteobacteria; Moraxellales; Moraxellaceae.